UACAGAGGGUGCAAGCGAUAAUCGGAAUUACUGGGCGUAAAGCGCGCGUAGGCGGUCGGGUAAGUCGGUUGUGAAAUCCCCGGGCUUAACCUGGGAAUUGCAGUCGAUACUGCCUGGCUAGAGUGUGGAAGAGGGAAGCGGAAUUUCCGGUGUAGCGGUGAAAUGCGUAGAUAUCGGAAGGAACACCAGUGGCGAAGGCGGCUUCCUGGUCCAACACUGACGCUGAGGCGCGAAAGCGUGGGUAGCGAACAGG
RNAcentral lists this ribosomal RNA (253 nucleotides) under uncultured bacterium. Its description in RNAcentral is "partial 16S ribosomal RNA". It matches the Rfam family "Bacterial small subunit ribosomal RNA", at positions 524 to 776 of the family's 1533-position model. The record is from RNAcentral.